AGAGUUUGAUCAUGGCUCAGGAUGAACGCUGGCGGCGUGCCUAACACAUGCAAGUCGAGCGUGAUUAAGUGGAGUGCGAACUUCGGUUCAAGUGAAGCUUAUGAAAGCGGCGGACGGGUGAGUAACGCGUGGGCAACCUGCCCCAUACAAAGGGAUAGCCACUGGAAACGGUGAUUAAUACCUUAUAAGUCAGUAGCACCGCAUGGUGUAGCUGACGAAGAUUUAUCGGUAUGGGAUGGGCCCGCGUCUGAUUAGCUAGUUGGUGAGGUAACGGCUCACCAAGGCGACGAUCAGUAGCCGACCUGAGAGGGUGAUCGGCCACACUGGAACUGAGACACGGUCCAGACUCCUACGGGAGGCAGCAGUGGGGAAUAUUGCACAAUGGGCGCAAGCCUGAUGCAGCAACGCCGCGUGAGUGAAGAAGGCCUUCGGGUCGUAAAACUCUGUCCUAUGGGAAGAAAAAAAUGACGGUACCAUGGGAGGAAGCCCCGGCUAACUACGUGCCAGCAGCCGCGGUAAUACGUAGGGGGCAAGCGUUAUCCGGAAUCACUGGGCGUAAAGGGUGCGUAGGUGGCUUAUCAAGCCAGGGGUGAAAGGCAUUGGCUCAACCAAUGUAAGCCUUUGGAACUGAUAGGCUUGAGUGCAGGAGAGGUAAGUGGAAUUCCUAGUGUAGAGG
RNAcentral lists this ribosomal RNA (676 nucleotides) under uncultured Fusibacter sp. RNAcentral describes it as "bacterial SSU rRNA". It matches the Rfam family "Bacterial small subunit ribosomal RNA", at positions 8 to 681 of the family's 1533-position model. The record is from RNAcentral. Lineage: Bacteria; Bacillati; Bacillota; Clostridia; Eubacteriales; Fusibacteraceae.